CAGUAGCCGCGGGAAUACGAGGGGGGCAAGCGUUGUUCGGAAUUAUUGGGCGUAAAGGGCGCGUAGGCGGUUUGGCAAGUUUGGUGUGAAAUCUUCGGGCUCAACUCGAAGUCUGCAUCGAAAACUGCCGGGCUUGAGUAUGGGAGAGGUGAGUGGAAUUUCCGGUGUAGCGGUGAAAUGCGUAGAUAUCGGAAGGAACACCUGUGGCGAAAGCGGCUCACUGGACCAUUACUGACGCUGAGGCGCGAAAGCUAGGGGAGCAAACAGGAUUAGAUACCCCCGUAGUCCCUGUCUCUUAUAC
Molecule: ribosomal RNA, 301 nt
Filed under: uncultured bacterium
Lineage: Bacteria
Description: partial 16S ribosomal RNA
Rfam family: Bacterial small subunit ribosomal RNA
Source: RNAcentral